AAUGAACGCUGGCGGCAGGCCUAACACAUGCAAGUCGAGCGGAUGGGCGGACGGGUGAGUAAUGCUUAGGAAUCUGCCUGGUCGCGGGGGCUAACGUCCGGAAACGGGAGCUAAUACUGCAUACUUUCAGUUGAGACUAGGUCGGAUUAGCUAGAUGGGGGGGUAAAGGCCUACCAAGGCGACGAUCCGUAGCUGGUCUGAGAGGAUGAUCAGUAACACUGGAACUGAGACACGGUCCAGACUCAUACGGGAGGCAGCAGUGGGGAAUAUUGGACAAUGGGCGAAAGCCUGAUCCAGCCAUGCCGCGUGUGUGAAGAAGGUCUUCGGAUUGUAAAGCACUUUAAGUUGGGAGGCGUUACCAACAGAAUAAGCACCGGCUAACUUCGUGCCAGCAGCCGCGGUAAUAC
This 407-nucleotide ribosomal RNA is filed under the name uncultured bacterium. Its description in RNAcentral is "partial 16S ribosomal RNA". It matches the Rfam family "Bacterial small subunit ribosomal RNA", at positions 29 to 526 of the family's 1533-position model. The record is from RNAcentral.